This 403-nucleotide ribosomal RNA is filed under the name bacterium. RNAcentral's name for it is "partial 16S ribosomal RNA". It matches the Rfam family "Bacterial small subunit ribosomal RNA", at positions 355 to 776 of the family's 1533-position model. The record is from RNAcentral.
UGGGGAAUAUUGCACAAUGGAGGGAACUCUGAUGCAGCGACGCCGCGUGAACGAAGAAGGCUUUCGAGUCGUAAAGUUCUUUUAUAUGGGAAGAUAAUGACGGUACCAUAAGAAGAAGCCCCGGCUAACUACGUGCCAGCAGCCGCGGUAAUACGUAGGGGGCUAGCGUUGUCCGGAAUCACUGGGCGUAAAGGGUUCGCAGGCGGAAAUGCAAGUCAGGUGUAAAAGGCAGUAGCUUAACUACUGUAAGCAUUUGAAACUGCAUAUCUUGAGAAGAGUAGAGGUAAGUGGAAUUUUUAGUGUAGCGGUGAAAUGCGUAGAUAUUAAAAAGAAUACCGGUGGCGAAGGCGACUUACUGGGCUCACUCUGACGCUGAGGAACGAAAGCGUGGGUAGCAAACAGG